UGCAGUCGAGCGAGAAGGUUUCUUCGGAGGUCUUCUAGCGGCGGACGGGUGAGUAACACGUGGGCAACCUGCCUUAAAGAGGGGGAUAGCCUCCCGAAAGGGAGAUUAAUACCGCAUAACAUCGGUUUAUCGCAUGAUGUACCGAUUAAAGGAGUAAUCCGCUUUAAGAUGGGCCCGCGGCGCAUUAGCUAGUUGGUGAGGUAACGGCUCACCAAGGCCACGAUGCGUACCCGACCUGAGAGGGUGAUCGGCCACCUUGGGACUGAGACACGGCCCAGACUCCUACGGGAGGCAGCAGUGGGGAAUAUUGCACAAUGGGGGAAACCCUGAUGCAGCAACGCCGCGUGAGUGAUGAAGGCCUUCGGGUUGUAAAGCUCUGUCUUCCGGGACGAUAAUGACGGUACCUGACGAGGA
RNAcentral lists this ribosomal RNA (414 nucleotides) under uncultured bacterium. RNAcentral's name for it is "bacterial SSU rRNA". It matches the Rfam family "Bacterial small subunit ribosomal RNA", at positions 56 to 488 of the family's 1533-position model. The record is from RNAcentral.